CCUACGGGUGGCAGCAGUGAGGAAUAUUGGUCAAUGGGCGAGAGCCUGAACCAGCCAAGUCGCGUGAGGGAGUACUGCCCUAUGGGUUGUAAACCUCUUUUGUCGGGGAGCAAAAGCCGGACGUGUCCGGCUGUGAGAGUACCCGAAGAAAAAGCAUCGGCUAACUCCGUGCCAGCAGCCGCGGUAAUACGGAGGAUGCGAGCGUUAUCCGGAUUUAUUGGGUUUAAAGGGUGCGCAGGCGGAUUUUUAAGUCAGCGGUAAAAUCGUGGGGCUCAACCCCAUCCAGCCGUUGAAACUGGGGAUCUAGAGUGUGCGAGAGGUAUGCGGAAUGCGUGGUGUAGCGGUGAAAUGCAUAGAUAUCACGCAGAACACCGAUUGCGAAGGCAGCAUACCGGUGCACAACUGACGCUCAGGCACGAAAGCGUGGGUAUCGAACAGGAUUAGAUACCCCAGUAGUC
This 458-nucleotide ribosomal RNA is filed under the name uncultured bacterium. RNAcentral's name for it is "partial 16S ribosomal RNA". It matches the Rfam family "Bacterial small subunit ribosomal RNA", at positions 338 to 795 of the family's 1533-position model. The record is from RNAcentral.